AUGCCUGCUAAUGGCUCAAAUGCCCCAACUACAGAGCAAGUCAUGCACAGACAGUGGCAGUACAGUUUCCUCUGGCUGAUCUAUCAAUGUGCCUUAAUGAUUUUCUAAAGGAACCACAUCAAAGGGGGAAACAAUUGUUCAGUUAACCAUGCCUAUUCAUUCUUGGGUUUCU
This is an unclassified non-coding RNA of Apteryx haastii (Great spotted kiwi), 172 nucleotides long. The record is from Ensembl. NCBI's taxonomy places the organism in Eukaryota, Metazoa, Chordata, Aves, Apterygiformes, Apterygidae.